This 481-nucleotide ribosomal RNA is filed under the name uncultured bacterium. RNAcentral describes it as "bacterial SSU rRNA". It matches the Rfam family "Bacterial small subunit ribosomal RNA", at positions 28 to 521 of the family's 1533-position model. The record is from RNAcentral.
GACGAACGCUGGCGGCGUGCCUAACACAUGCAAGUCGAGCGGAGACAGUGAGUAGCUUGCUACGAGCUGUUUUAGCGGCGGACGGGUGAGUAACGCGUGAGCAACCUUUCCCAGACAGGGGAAUAACACACCGAAAGGUGUACUAAUACCGCAUAAGACCACGGGAUCACAUGGUUCUGGGGUAAAAGAUUUAUCGGUUUGGGGUGGGCUCGCGUCCGAUUAGGUAGUUGGUGAGGUAACGGCCCACCAAGCCGACGAUCGGUAGCCGACCUGAGAGGAUGAACGGCCACAUUGGGACUGAGACACGGCCCAAACUCCUACGGGAGGCAGCAGUGGGGAAUAUUGGACAAUGGGCGAAAGCCUGAUCCAGCGACGCCGCGUGAGCGAUGAAGUAUUUCGGUAUGUAAAGCUCUAUCAGCAGGGAAGAAAACGACGGUACCUGACUAAGAAGCCCGGCUAACUACGUGCCAGCAGCCGCGGU